This 587-nucleotide long non-coding RNA is filed under the name Mustela putorius furo (domestic ferret). Its description in RNAcentral is "lncRNA (ENSMPUG00000027860.1)". Lineage: Eukaryota; Metazoa; Chordata; Mammalia; Carnivora; Mustelidae. The record is from RNAcentral.
GCCAGACUAGACUGGAUGAGGAGCAUGGAUCUGUAAGAAGUGUUUUCUCUGUCUUCUAAGACCCUACACAUGUGUUAAAAAGAAACAAGUGGCGCAUGAUAAAAGAAAUUAGUACCAUAAUUUUGGAAAUAAGAUGAGGAGAUGACUAGAGCUGGCUUUUAUGUUCAGAGAGUUUUUUGCAUUGAAGCUAAAGAUCAUACGGCAUCUAGUGUUUUCUUAAAUGAUGCAAAAAUUAUAAUAGACUGAGGUAGAGAAAUAAAUACAACCGGAGGAUGUCCUCACAUAUCAGAAUACAGAGGUGGGAAAUAAUUAUAACAUCAUUCUCCUUUUUUUUUAAUAGGGUUUCUAACAGUCAAAGCACAUUAAUAUUUAUUGACACAUUUGGCUCUUAACGUGUGAGAGAGCAAAGGUAUGAAAAUGCAGAAGAGGAAAAUAAAUUAUCUUCGACUUCAGGCAAUACUCCAAGUGGAAACAAGCAAUAAAGAUCUAUAUUUCCCCACCAAUAUGAAAUUAUGGCCACGUCACCAAAUCUAGUAAGUCAACUAUUGCUUUCAGUUUUAAUUAACUUUUUAAAAGUGAUCUUUUUA